RNAcentral lists this ribosomal RNA (253 nucleotides) under uncultured Mucilaginibacter sp. RNAcentral describes it as "partial 16S ribosomal RNA". It matches the Rfam family "Bacterial small subunit ribosomal RNA", at positions 524 to 776 of the family's 1533-position model. The record is from RNAcentral. Lineage: Bacteria; Pseudomonadati; Bacteroidota; Sphingobacteriia; Sphingobacteriales; Sphingobacteriaceae.
UACGGAGGAUCCAAGCGUUAUCCGGAUUUAUUGGGUUUAAAGGGUGCGUAGGUGGUCUAUUAAGUCAGGGGUGAAAGACGGCAGCUUAACUGUCGCAGUGCCUUUGAUACUGAUGGACUUGAAUAAACUAGAGGUAGGCGGAAUGUGACAAGUAGCGGUGAAAUGCAUAGAUAUGUCACAGAACACCAAUUGCGAAGGCAGCUUACUAUGGUUUGAUUGACACUGAGGCACGAAAGCGUGGGGAUCAAACAGG